Molecule: long non-coding RNA, 458 nt
Organism: Neltuma alba
Lineage: Eukaryota; Viridiplantae; Streptophyta; Magnoliopsida; Fabales; Fabaceae
Exons: 2
Source: RefSeq, a predicted model, not a curated record
UAUUUCUGAAUGUACCCUUCCUAUUAGAUGCCAUAUGGAUUGGAGGGAUGAGUUUUUUGGAAGUAUGGGGGGCAUUUUGUUUUCUUGCAGCUGGCCGAGCUGGUUUGCUCAAGGGUUGCAAGCCAGCAAGUUUAAAUAGCUGCUAAAGUAGUUAGACAGGGCACAAUACCAGCUCCUGCCUGCUCAGAUCUGCAUGGUGCAGGAUAGAUUUUGCCCUACAUUUUAUCUUCUUAGCUACCUCGUGCUUCGAUUGUUCACUUCCAAUUUAAGCCGGGGGAUUGAUAGCUUGCUCCGCCUGGUCCGUGAAUGUGACUGGGUUACUAGUUAGUUUAAAUAAGCUCCAAACAUGUAUGUGGUCAAUUAUUGGGACCAAUAGAUGAAGAUGGGCUGUUGUUGUUGAUGUUGUUAUUUGUUGCGCUAAACUGUUAGCUUUUUUAUCAGCAUUUUUUCUAUCCGCA